GGGAUCGGGGCGUCGCCGCUGCAGCCACCGCCUCGGGAGCUGGUGAGCGAUGAAGAACCUCAGAAAGGGUUUCUGUCCUGAGUGGCCUGCGUGGGCAGCUUGACGGCUCUCUGUGUGGAGUCGACAUUGGGAGAUUUCGGAAGCAUGAGUUGGUGUCUGGGCGGCUGGUGAUGGUGGCUGCUGGCACCUGGAAAAGCGCACUGCUGCAGGGUGACGAACACGGGCGUCACCAUAUGCGUCUGCUGAACUCCAUCUCCCAGUGGCGGAGCCGUUUGUGGGAGCGUGUCUAGCUCCGCAGUCCAGCUGCUGGCGUCUCCCCGGUCUCCGUUCCCCUGGCGACGCAGAUGCUGUGGCUCCGUUCCCCUGGCGACGCAGAUGCUUG
Molecule: long non-coding RNA, 382 nt
Organism: Phyllostomus hastatus (greater spear-nosed bat)
Lineage: Eukaryota; Metazoa; Chordata; Mammalia; Chiroptera; Phyllostomidae
Exons: 4
Source: RefSeq, a predicted model, not a curated record